AACUGACUAUAUAUGCAAGUCGAAUUCUCACGCGACACCUUUUCGCGGAAGAGAGGAGAGGGAAAUGACGCCUCGCGCAUGCGCCGCUCUCAACAGACCCCCUCCUUUUUCGGUUGAGGAGCUCGGUUGCUUAGCAACGCUCUGCGUGCCGCUUGUCCGACGAGCGGGCCUGUCGAGGAGUUUCGAAGGCGGCUUGAGGGGGCGAAGGCGACCCGAGCCUUCCCUCGAGGGGGCCGUUAGCCUCCGAGGCACCGACACACUGUGUUUGAACUGAUCUACUCCCUGGCCAGAGAUUAAAAGACAAGACGGUCCCUGCCUGCAGGCUUACAGUCUUAUAUAGUCAGGAUACAGGAGGAAGACAGAAGGGGAUGGGAAAAGGAAAGGGUCAGCGUAGCAAGAUCCUUGUCUGGCUCAAACACACACACCCAGCCUGCUGAGGUGCAGGUAGAUAGCUUUGCCUUGCCUCCUAAUCCAUAAACCAGAAGCCAGAAUGUAUUUCCUUUGAGUUUUGCAAUUCCAAAGCAAUGAGGAUGCCGCUUUCAAGUAGGUUACAGUGCCUUUUUUCACCUCUUAUUUUCAUCUUCUGACAGCCCUUCAAUGAAGUUUUGAUUGCGGUAUAAUGACUAGAAGUCACUCACUGCACUUCAAGACUGAGUGGAAAUGCAGUCUCUCCAGUUCUCCAGUUCUCUGACUGCUAUGCCACAGUGAUCGCUGUAUUCUUUUUAGUUUGUUUGAUAUGUUAUUAUACACAAUACCUGGCAAAUGUUCUAAAAAUUUAACUACAAACAAUAUAAUUAGCAUAUAGUAUGACAAUAGCGUUUGUUAAGAACAAUCGAUAGUACCAUAGUGAAACAAUGAAAGAAGGAAAGGCACUGGGUUAAGAAAUAUUUAAUGUUAUAUAUUUUUUAAAAAAACUUCUACUGAAAUUGAAUAUAUUUACAAAUGACACUUAACAAAAUAAGAGGAGUAUGAGUACCUGCACUGAGAGACUCAUUUUCCAGUGCUCUAGAAAGGAGCCAAUGGAGAGAGGGGGGUGAAAGAUGACAAAUUAACAGUACACAUUCAUUUGGGUUGUGCACAUUUAAGGUUUAUCUCAGUAGGAGAAACAAGAUGAAAGGGUUUCAUGCAAAGGAAAGAGAUGGGCAGAUAGGCAUUUUGAGUCACUGAUCUUAAAACUGAUGGAUCCGAAUCGAGGAAAUAGAUGGUGCCCUAUUCUCAUGUCACUUCCAUCAACAACACCUGCAUUGUCUUGUUUUCUUAGACAUUGUCUUUAUUAAGCUAAAUAAAACUAAGAAAAAAAGAAUAUUGAUUGCA
RNAcentral lists this long non-coding RNA (1314 nucleotides) under Pogona vitticeps (central bearded dragon). RNAcentral describes it as "lncRNA (ENSPVIG00000003199.1)". The record is from RNAcentral. Lineage: Eukaryota; Metazoa; Chordata; Lepidosauria; Squamata; Agamidae.